Molecule: ribosomal RNA, 500 nt
Filed under: uncultured bacterium
Lineage: Bacteria
Description: partial 16S ribosomal RNA
Rfam family: Bacterial small subunit ribosomal RNA
Source: RNAcentral
AUUGAACGCUGGCGGAAUGCUUUACACAUGCAAGUCGAACGGCAGCACGGGGGCAACCCUGGUGGCGAGUGGCGAACGGGUGAGUAAUACAUCGGAACGUGCCCAGUCGUGGGGGAUAACGUAGCGAAAGUUACGCUAAUACCGCAUACGAUCUACGGAUGAAAGCGGGGGACCGUAAGGCCUCGCGCGAUUGGAGCGGCCGAUGUCAGAUUAGGUAGUUGGUGAGGUAAAGGCUCACCAAGCCGACGAUCUGUAGCUGGUCUGAGAGGACGAACAGCCACACUGGGACUGAGACACGGCCCAGACUCCUACGGGAGGCAGCAGUGGGGAAUUUUGGACAAUGGGCGCAAGCCUGAUCCAGCCAUUCCGCGUGCAGGACGAAGGCCUUCGGGCUGUAAACUGCUUUUGUACGGAACGAAAAGGCUCUGGUUAAUACCUGGGGCUCAUGACGGUACCGUAAGAAUAAGCACCGGCUAACUACGUGCCAGCCGCCGCGGUAA